This 131-nucleotide ribosomal RNA is filed under the name Cytospora mali. RNAcentral's name for it is "partial 28S ribosomal RNA". Lineage: Eukaryota; Fungi; Ascomycota; Sordariomycetes; Diaporthales; Cytosporaceae. The record is from RNAcentral.
CAGGACUCCGAGCGCAGUAGUAAAACCCUCGCUUUGGACUGUACUGGCGCGGCCCUGCCGUAAAACCCCCAACUUCUGAAAAUUUGACCUCGGAUCAGGUAGGAAUACCCGCUGAACUUAAGCAUAUCAAA